Molecule: transfer RNA, 77 nt
Filed under: Candidatus Bathyarchaeota archaeon
Lineage: Archaea; Thermoproteati; Candidatus Bathyarchaeota
Also listed under: 2 other names
Description: tRNA-Tyr
Rfam family: tRNA
About the family: Transfer RNA (tRNA) molecules are approximately 80 nucleotides in length. Their secondary structure includes four short double-helical elements and three loops (D, anti-codon, and T loops).
Source: RNAcentral
CCCGGGGUAGCUCAGCCUGGAAGAGCUUCCGGCUGUAGACCGGAGUGUCGCCGGUUCAAAUCCGGCCCCCGGGACCA